RNAcentral lists this ribosomal RNA (366 nucleotides) under uncultured bacterium. RNAcentral's name for it is "partial 16S ribosomal RNA". It matches the Rfam family "Bacterial small subunit ribosomal RNA", at positions 338 to 696 of the family's 1533-position model. The record is from RNAcentral.
CCUACGGGAGGCAGCAGUAGGGAAUCUUCCACAAUGGGCGAAAGCCUGAUGGAGCAACGCCGCGUGGGUGAAGAAGGUCCUCGGAUCGUUAAACCCUUUUGUUAGAGAAGAAAGUGCGUGAGCGUAUCUGUUCACGCUUCGACGGUAUCUAACCAGACAGCCACGGCUAACUACGUGCCAGCAGCUGCGGUAAUACGUAGGUGGCAAGCGUUAUCCGGUUUUAUUUGGCGUAAAGGGAACGCAGGCGGUCUGUUAAGUCUGAUGUGAAAGCCGUCGGCUUAACCGGAGUAGUGCAGUUGAAACUGGGAGACUUGAGUGCAGAAGAGGCGAGUGGAACUCGAUGUGUAGCGGUGAAAUGCAUAGAUA